Molecule: ribosomal RNA, 502 nt
Filed under: uncultured bacterium
Lineage: Bacteria
Description: partial 16S ribosomal RNA
Rfam family: Bacterial small subunit ribosomal RNA
Source: RNAcentral
AUUGAACGCUGGCGGCAGGCUUAACACAUGCAAGUCGAGCGGGGUGAUGGUGCUUGCACUAUCACUUAGCGGCGGACGGGUGAGUAAUGCUUAGGAAUCUGCCUAUUAGUGGGGGACAACAUCUCGAAAGGGAUGCUAAUACCGCAACCGUCCCACGGGAGAAAGCAGGGGAUCUUUAUGACCUUGCGCUAAUAGAGGAGCCUAAGGCGGAUUAGCUAGUUGGUGGGGUAAAGGCCUACCAAGGCGACGAUCUGUAGCGGGUCUGAGAGGAUGAUCCGCCACACUGGGACUGAGACACGGCCCAGACUCCUACGGGAGGCAGCAGUGGGGAAUAUUGGACAAUGGGGGGAACCCUGAUCCAGCCAUGCCGCGUGUGUGAAGAAGGCCUUAUGGUUGUAAAGCACUUUAAGCGAGGAGGAGGCUCUUUUGGUUAAUACCCAAGAUGAGUGGACGUUACUCGCAGAAUAAGCACCGGCUAACUCUGUGCCAGCAGCCGCCGCGG